UAUUUAUUAGAUAAAAAACCAAUGCCCUUCGGGGCUCCUUGGUGAAUCAUAAUAACUUAACGAAUCGCAUGGCCUUGCGCCGGCGAUGGUUCAUUCAAAUUUCUGCCCUAUCAACUUUCGAUGGUAGGAUAGUGGCCUACCAUGGUAUCAACGGGUAACGGGGAAUUAGGGUUCGACUCCGGAGAGGGAGCCUGAGAAACGGCUACCACAUCCAAGGAAGGCAGCAGGCGCGCAAAUUACCCAAUCCCGACACGGGGAGGUAGUGACAAUAAAUACUGAUACAGGGCUCUUUUGGGUCUUGUAAUUGGAAUGAGUACAAUUUAAAUCCCUUAACGAGGAACAAUUGGAGGGCAAGUCUGGUGCCAGCAGCCGCGGUAAUUCCAGUUCCAAUAGCGUAUAUUAAAGUUGUUGCAGUUAAAAAGCUCGUAGUUGAACCUUGGGCCUGGCUGGCCGGUCCGCCUCACCGCGUGUACUGGUCCGGCCGGGCCUUUCCUUCUGGGGAACCUCAUGCCCUUCACUGGGCGUGUUGGGGAACCAGGACUUUUACUUUGAAAAAAUUAGAGUGUUCAAAGCAGG
Molecule: ribosomal RNA, 576 nt
Filed under: uncultured eukaryote
Lineage: Eukaryota
Description: SSU rRNA
Rfam family: Eukaryotic small subunit ribosomal RNA
Source: RNAcentral